CGGGACGGGUGAGUAAUGUCUGGGAAACUGCCUGAUGGAGGGGGGUAACUACUGGAAACGGUAGCUAAUACCGCAUAACGUCGCAAGACCAAAGAGGGGGACCUUCGGGCCUCUUGCCAUCGGAUGUGCCCAGAUGGGAUUAGCUAGUAGGUGGGGUAACGGCUCACCUAGGCGACGAUCCCUAGCUGGUCUGAGAGGAUGACCAGCCACACUGGAACUGAGACACGGUCCAU
RNAcentral lists this ribosomal RNA (233 nucleotides) under uncultured bacterium. RNAcentral's name for it is "partial 16S ribosomal RNA". It matches the Rfam family "Bacterial small subunit ribosomal RNA", at positions 100 to 334 of the family's 1533-position model. The record is from RNAcentral.